RNAcentral lists this ribosomal RNA (274 nucleotides) under uncultured bacterium. Its description in RNAcentral is "partial 16S ribosomal RNA". It matches the Rfam family "Bacterial small subunit ribosomal RNA", at positions 523 to 796 of the family's 1533-position model. The record is from RNAcentral.
CUACGGAGGGUGCAAGCGUUACUCGGAAUCACUGGGCGUAAAGCGCGCGCAGGCGGCCUGAUAAGUUGGAUGUGAAAGCCUACGGCUCAACCGUAGAACUGCAUCCAAAACUGUCAGGCUAGAGUGUGGGAGAGGAAGAUGGAAUUAGUUGUGUAGGGGUAAAAUCCGUAGAGAUAACUAGGAAUACCAAAAGCGAAGGCAAUCUUCUGGAACACUACUGACGCUCAGGCGCGAAGGCGUGGGGAGCAAACAGGAUUAGAAACCCCGGUAGUCC